UAUAGGACUUCUGCUCCAAGUGAGGUCUGUGGACCGGCAGCACCAUUGCCAUCCGGUAGGGUGUGAGGAAUGCACAUCCUGGGCCCAGUGCUGACCAGCUGAAUGAGAAUCUGCACUUCAACAAGAUCUCCAGGUGUUCCAUAUGCCUAUUCAAGUCUGAGAAGCAGUGUUCUAGGCCAGGGGUCAGUGAACACGUUUUAUUAGAAGGCAGCAAGGCCAUUCAUUUGCCUCUUGAUUAUGCAGCUUUCUCACCCCAACAGCCGGGUUGAGUAGUUGCAAUGGAACCUAAAAUAUUGAUUCUCUGGCUCUUCACAGAAAGAGUUCGUCGACCCCUGCACUAGGCAGACAGAAAUCUCUGUAACCAACCCAUGUGGCUAGCAUUUCUGUUAGAGGGCAGUUUAGUCACAGACAUUGAAUUCGUUGUUUAAAUAUCGUCAUGGACAUCAUGGACAGGUGUGGCUGCUCUGCUUCAUAUAUAGCAAAAGGAUUGUUGAAAAUACGCAUUCUGUAGUGGAUGCCAUAAAGAGAGCUUAUGCAAAGACUCUACAAAGGACUUCAGUGACUCAUGGCGAGGAAGAGGCCUGCUAAACCAACAUUUCUGAAAUUGCUGAGAUAUUUUGAUAGGACAUCCUGGCCUGAGGCUUCUAGGCUUGCACUGCAAGAAUAUUAAAGAAGCACCUCAUUGUGUUUUUGAAAGCCUUGGAGUUUUUCCAAGUUCGUGCUUCCCAGGUCUGUCUCUGUCCCUCUGUCUGUCUCUCUGUCUCUCUCACACAUACACACACACACACAUACCACCACCAACAAAAGCCAGGCUGCAGCCUCAGACUCCAGACGCAUGCACCCAUCAUAAUUGCAGCCCUGCCAGCAGUCAUGUAACUGCUUAAAGACCUCAACAGCCUUCUGGCACUUAAAGGAAAAAAAAAAUCAUCUAAUUAAUCACAGGUGAAACAGCUUGGACUGUCUCCAAAAGCCCCUGAAUUUACUGCCAAGCUUUGAUGCUAAUUUUCUUUCUAAGUAACCCCCUAAAGAAAUUUACGAUUAGGUAAUUAAAGUAAUGAAUAAAGAGAUACUUAGGUGGAGGGAAAGGGGGAGAGGGGAAAAGGCUAUUAUUUCCAUCCUGCAAUAAACGUAUCUGGGCAUGCAUCAUUUGUGAACCCCAAC
RNAcentral lists this long non-coding RNA (1161 nucleotides) under Equus caballus (horse). RNAcentral describes it as "lncRNA (ENSECAG00000050263.1)". The record is from RNAcentral. Lineage: Eukaryota; Metazoa; Chordata; Mammalia; Perissodactyla; Equidae.